GAAGUUUUGUGGCUUGCAAAUAGGUACUGCAAAUUUUAUGACUUGCAAAAUAAAUAUUGCAAGUUUUGUUGCUUGCAAAUAAGGUACAGUAAGUUUUGUGGCUUGCAAGUAGGUACCGCAAGUUUUGUGGCUUGCAAAUUGAUAGUUGGCUCUGGCUUACCUUUAGUGGUGUCUAUUGUUAAAAAUUAUUCAUUUUGUUUCGUUAAUGUAAUUUAAAAAUUAAAUUAUUUACUAGAAGCCCAGACAAAAAAUAAUUACAUUUUUAAUUUCAAAAAACUUGUUUUUUUUGUGUUUUUUUUUCCCAGGUUGGAGUGGUUAAUCUGUUCCUUUACAUGAUAAUGUAUACUCAGAUGCAUCUUGUAAUGUGCAAUUGCAAGUUUCCAAAUAAAGUAAAAUUGUUGGCGACAUGGCACAUGUGUUAAAGUCUUCUGUCACAGUUGACUCAGCAUGAAUGAAGACAUUGAUACCAUUUUGCAUUAUGGAAUACACAAGUUGGCAGUUCCUCGUCCACUGCCACCCAAAUACAGGUAGGUAUGCAUGCAUACACAACCCUCAAAAUUAGUAAAACUAAAAUGAAGUUUUUCAUUUUCUGACUUCGUGAUGAAACUUAUUGAAGUACACUCUUUUUGGACAUAGGAGGAGUAUUAUCGCUACAAGCGUGAACAAUAAUAAAACAUUCCAAAGAAUAAUUUGUUAUUUCAACAAUUAGAUAUGUUGUUUAAAUGUAUAAAUGCUUGUUGAAUAUUCUUAUUAUAUCAUCCUAAU
This is a non-coding RNA of Hydra vulgaris (swiftwater hydra), 765 nucleotides long. Lineage: Eukaryota; Metazoa; Cnidaria; Hydrozoa; Anthoathecata; Hydridae. The record is from RefSeq and is a predicted model, not a curated record.